RNAcentral lists this unclassified non-coding RNA (437 nucleotides) under Hevea brasiliensis (rubber tree). The record is from RNAcentral. Lineage: Eukaryota; Viridiplantae; Streptophyta; Magnoliopsida; Malpighiales; Euphorbiaceae.
UGGCCGUAGCGAUCUCAUGUCCUUAAUCGCCGCUGUUCCCCAAAAUCGAAGACCUGCUUUGUUUAAAUCGCUGUUGUUUGAAGCGUGUGGGAGGACGGUGAAUCCAGUGACCGGUGCGGUAGGGCUUUUAUCGACGGGGAACUGGCACGUGUGUCAAAAAGCGGUGCAAACGGUUCUCGCUGGUGGAAAUCUACGGCCGGUUCUCGCCGGGAUUUUAACUCCGCCUUACUUCGAUAAUUCCUUCCGAUGCGGCGGCGCGUGGGAUAUGCCAAACCAGUUCUGUAACAAAUCCGAUUCUAUGUUCAUAGACGGAUCGGAACAAAUUGAGGGAAUGGAGUGGAUCAGUUCGGAGAAGAGAUGGAAUACGUCGUCGUGUUUUGGUUCGGAGACUGAGUUAUCGGAUGUAUCGCUGGGUUUGGAUAGUGGAUAUGGAUAUG